RNAcentral lists this ribosomal RNA (433 nucleotides) under uncultured bacterium. RNAcentral describes it as "partial 16S ribosomal RNA". It matches the Rfam family "Bacterial small subunit ribosomal RNA", at positions 29 to 507 of the family's 1533-position model. The record is from RNAcentral.
AACGAACGCUGGCGGCAUGCCUAACACAUGCCAGUCGAACGAGACCUUCGGGUCUAGUGGCGCACGGGUGCGUAACGCGUGGGAACCUGCCCUUAGGUUCGGAAUAACUCCCCGAAAGGGGUGCUAAUACCGGAUAAUGUCUUCGGACCAAAGAUUUAUCGCCUUUGGAUGGGCCCGCGUUGGAUUAGCUAGUUGGUAGGGUAAAAGCCUACCAAGGCGACGAUCCAUAGCUGGUCUGAGAGGAUGAUCAGCCACACUGGGACUGAGACACGGCCCAGACUCCUACGGGAGGAAGCAGUGGGGAAUAUUGGACAAUGGGCGAAAGCCUGAUCCAGCAAUGCCGCGUGAGUGAUGAAGGCCUUAGGGUUGUAAAGCUCUUUUACCCGGGAUGAUAAUGACAGUACCGGGAGAAUAAGCGCCGGCUAACUCCGUG